AAGGCUUUAGCUUAAUUAAAGUGUCUGUUUUGCAUACAGAAGAUGUGGGUUAGUGUCCUGCAGGCCUUA
This 69-nucleotide transfer RNA is filed under the name Tridentiger trigonocephalus. Its description in RNAcentral is "tRNA-Ala". It matches the Rfam family "tRNA". Rfam says of the family: Transfer RNA (tRNA) molecules are approximately 80 nucleotides in length. The record is from RNAcentral. Lineage: Eukaryota; Metazoa; Chordata; Actinopteri; Gobiiformes; Gobiidae. RNAcentral also lists the same sequence under 1 other name.